UUUUACGUGUUGCCUAUGACUGUUGCUUGUGGGGAGAGACAUUUCAGUAAGCUAAAACUAACUUUUGAGAAGAAAACCUCUUAAGUCAACUCCUAUUCCUGCCGGUCAAGAAGUUUGUUAAGUAGAGCAGGAAUGCAGUCCAAGACGUCAUUAUUAUUUUAUGGCCAAAGUGUGUCACAUGACUUAUUGGACCACAUGAGUCACACCAAGUAUAGCGUGUUUCUUUUUACAAACUCUACACAGCACUUAUGAUGAUCAACAUUGGGGGAAAUUGUGAAAUUUUGUUACCAGUAAAUGACAUAAAAAAACUGCAGACUUCAAGGUGGCUCAAGCUCUUCUGAGCCAUUACAGCCGCUGACUGAGUGGUCACAGGUUCGACACAACAUCAGGUCACUUGUCCACAUGCAGCACUGAAUCCUGGAAUAUCAUUUAAUAUGAUUUGCUUCAGUGAGUCACAGAAAUGAUGGGAAUUCAAAUUCACAUUUCUUUCAUCUGCUGCCAUUCACAACAGCACUGGUGAACUUCUAGACUUCCAGACUACUGAAUGACGUUUAAAUGUGAAAAUCUGGACUGAGCAAACCUGAGUCAGCAGAUGACGUGCUGAAAAGCAGACAGACUUUGAAAUUGACCAAAGCUCAGAUUGUAUGCAGCUGUAAAGGUUGUUUUAUGAGCGAAAUCAGUAAUGACAAUCUAUUAAAUAAUUUGUGAGUAGAAGGAUUAAACCACAACUGUCAAAUGUGCAAUUCAUAGUGUCAUAAGGUAUGCAAUAUCUAAAAUAAUUUAAGGUUUACUGGCGAUGGAUGGUGUUUUGCAUCAGGUUAUCUGUAGAUGUUAUAUAAUAUAUUCAAAAUACUUUUGAGAAUGUUACAGAUUCAGGCAUCACGUCAGUUCUUUAAAGCUGAAACUUUUAUUAUUCUUCCUAAGUUGGUGAUUCACUGAAAUGCCAAAUAAAUUUAAAAUUUUUUGGGACAUUUUAGUUGAAACUUUAUAAAAAAAAUACUUUAAAGACAUUCUUCAGUUUGGAGAUUAUUGUGCAGAUUAUCACAUUCAGAUCUAGAAAGGAAACAAAGUUGUUCUAAGAACAGAAAAAUAAAUCAGGUUCAAUUGUAGCUGUAUUUAUCACAUUUAAUUAGAGUUGGUAGAGUUGCAGAGAAGUGUAUGGUCAUGCUUGCUGAUUAUAGACUGAUGCAAAUUUAACUUGUAUCAGAAUAUUCAAAGUCCUCUCCACCUGUCCAUAUUGCAUAUUAUUAUGGAAAGACAGAUGAAAAGUAUACUGAUGUGUAAAGCGCUUCUGAAAUCUGAACUCUUUUUUUUUUCUCAACAGGUUUUUUUAUUGAUCACAUUAUUGUACCAAUCUGUUUUCUCUUCUCUAAAUUUCUCACAAAUUCACUUUUAAGAUCCACAAUUCUCAUAUCUAUCUGCUAUUCCUUGUGUUCCUACUCUGUCUCUUUGUGUCUUUUCACAGGAAGAAAAUAAGCUUCAAUACCCUCAUGACUUACUUGUUGAUAUCAAGCAAGAUGAAGAUUGAGUACUUGUGAAGAUACUUAAACCCACAGUCAGGUGGAGAAAAAGGGACAACGAUGGAAACAAACAAAUGUGAUGUGAUGAUGCACACCAGAUAUGUCCUUCAUAACAGAGAUACCAUAACAGCCAGAUUCUACCAACCAUUGCUUCCAACAACUUACGUCUUAAAUAAAGCAUUUUGCCAUGAUGAUGUUUUCUUUACAUUUGAAGAAUUAAAGAUGGCAGCACCAGGUCUCUUCUGCAAAGCAUUUCUAAAAAUACUGGAUCAACAAACUGUCCAUUUUGAUCAAGUGAGUACUUUGGUGUACAUAUCCUAAAAGAGCCGUCUCACUCUAUUGUUGAGGGCUGGUGUUUGGAAACUUUUUACUGUAGAUGCCCCUGGUUCAACACACCUGAAUCAAAAGGCUGAGGUACCCUCUCAGCAUGCAGUCAGAUCCUACAAAGUCCUCCUAGUGGCCAAAUUAUUUUAAAUAGGUGUGUGCCAGAGACACACUUAAAUAGUGAAGAACACCUGGGUUAAUGCACGAAUCCUAGAUUUGAAUUUACUACCGUGUACUAC
This is a long non-coding RNA of Xiphophorus maculatus (southern platyfish), 2083 nucleotides long. RefSeq lists it as uncharacterized. Lineage: Eukaryota; Metazoa; Chordata; Actinopteri; Cyprinodontiformes; Poeciliidae. The transcript has 2 exons. The record is from RefSeq and is a predicted model, not a curated record.